GAUUGUGUAUCUAUCCCAAUUAGUACUGACAAGAAGUGUUAUCAGAGAAACCUGGAAAUCUUCAUGAAUACUGCAAAAACAGCCUUCAAAAAUAGUGACACAAGCGAGGCCAUUUGUGGCAGUCUGGGAAAAAUCCAGAAACUUCCUCUGCCUGGAUGCACCUCAGGGGAAUGUAACUGCCGUGAAGCCAUUU
Non-coding RNA from Phascolarctos cinereus (koala), 193 nucleotides. The record is from RefSeq and is a predicted model, not a curated record. NCBI's taxonomy places the organism in Eukaryota, Metazoa, Chordata, Mammalia, Diprotodontia, Phascolarctidae.